GUCCCUUUUCAAAAGUCUUCCAACUGUUUCCCUGAUUUCGCUAGUUAAUCUUUUAUAUUUUUGUUACGUUUAUAUGCUAUAAUAGACACUUGAGUAAAACUUUCACUGCAUUCUUUUACAGAUUGUUCCAAUGUUUUCUUAUAAUUUUAAUAAAGUUUUUCACCAUUUGGUUAUAUUUUGUAAUAAGUGUAAGUGGGUAUUUUUCUUGUUCUUG
This 214-nucleotide long non-coding RNA is filed under the name Mytilus galloprovincialis (Mediterranean mussel). The record is from RNAcentral. Lineage: Eukaryota; Metazoa; Mollusca; Bivalvia; Mytilida; Mytilidae.